This 360-nucleotide unclassified non-coding RNA is filed under the name uncultured Actinomycetes bacterium. RNAcentral describes it as "uncultured actinobacterium contains 16S-23S intergenic spacer region". The record is from RNAcentral. Lineage: Bacteria; Bacillati; Actinomycetota; Actinomycetes.
UCCGGGUUGGACCCGGCGGUUCCGCCAGACAUCGUAACUGGCAACGAGGGUUGCGCUCGUUGCGGGACUUAACCCAACAUCUCACGACACGAGCUGACGACAACCAUGCACCACCUGUAUACCGACCUUGCGGGGCGACGAUCUCUCGCCGUUUCCGGUAUAUGUCAAGCCUUGGUAAGGUUCUUCGCGUUGCAUCGAAUUAAUCCGCAUGCUCCGCCGCUUGUGCGGGCCCCCGUCAAUUCCUUUGAGUUUUAGCCUUGCGGCCGUACUCCCCAGGCGGGACACUUAACGCGUUAACUGCGGCACAGAGGGAUUCGACUCCCCCCACACCUAGUGUUCAUCGUUUACGGCUAGGACUAC